Molecule: ribosomal RNA, 97 nt
Filed under: Gorilla gorilla gorilla (western lowland gorilla)
Lineage: Eukaryota; Metazoa; Chordata; Mammalia; Primates; Hominidae
Source: RNAcentral
GUCUAUGGCCAUACAAUCCUUAACACACCCAAUGUCAUCUGAUCUUGGAAGCUAAGCAGGGUUGGGCCUGGUUAGUACUUGAAUGGAGACAUUUACC